Molecule: ribosomal RNA, 208 nt
Filed under: uncultured bacterium
Lineage: Bacteria
Description: partial 16S ribosomal RNA
Rfam family: Bacterial small subunit ribosomal RNA
Source: RNAcentral
CGCGUAGGCGGCUCCAAAAGUCAGGGGUGAAAUCCGGCAGCUUAACUGUCGCAGUGCCUUUGAUACUGUGGAGCUAGAGGGAGGUAGGGGUCUGUGGAACUUCCGGUGGAGCGGUGAAAUGCGUUGAUAUCGGAAGGAACGCCGGUGGCGAAAGCGACGGACUGGAUCUCUUCUGACGCUGAGGCGCGAAAGCCAGGGGAGCAAACGG